AUUGAACGCUGGCGGCAGGCCUAACACAUGCAAGUCGGACGAGUGGCGGACGGGUGAGUAACGUCUGGGAACCUUCCUGAUAGAGGGGGAUAACUACUGGAAACGGUAGCUAAUACCGCAUACCAUCAGAUGUGCCCAGGUGGGAUUAGCUUGUGGGGGGGGUAAAGGCUCACCCAGGCGACGAUCCCUAGCGGGUCUGAGAGGAGGAUCAGCCACAAUGGAACUGAGACACGGCCCAGACUCCUACGGGAGGCAGCAGUGGGGAAUAUUGGACAAUGGGCGCAAGCCUGAUGCAGCCAUGCCGCGUGGCUGAAGAAGGCCUUCGGGUUGUAAAGGACUUUUGGCGGGGAGGCGUUACCUGAAGAAUAAGCACCGGCUAACUCCGUGCCAGCAGCCGCGGUAAUAC
Molecule: ribosomal RNA, 406 nt
Filed under: uncultured bacterium
Lineage: Bacteria
Description: partial 16S ribosomal RNA
Rfam family: Bacterial small subunit ribosomal RNA
Source: RNAcentral